GGGCAGCGGGGGAGUAGCAAUACUCCCGCCGGCGACCGGCGCACGGGUGAGUAACACGUAUGAAACCUGCCCGUAGCAGGGGGAUAAGCGGAAGAAAUUCCGUCUAAUACCGCGUUACAACCCAUGGAGGCAUCUCUGUGGGUUUAAAGGAAGCGAUUCCGGCUACGGAUGGUCAUGCGUCGCAUUAGCUUGUUGGCGGGGUAACGGCCCACCAAGGCGACGAUGCGUAGGGGUUCUGAGAGGAAGGUCCCCCACACUGGUACUGAAACACGGACCAGACUCCUACGGGAGGCAGCAGUGAGGAAUAUUGGUCAAUGGCCGCAGGGCUGAACCAGCCAAGUCGCGUGAGGGAUGACGGUCCUAUGGAUUGUAAACCUCUUUUGUCAGGGAGCAAAGGGCGCCACGUGUGGCGCUUUGCGAGUACCUGAAGAAAAAGCAUCGGCUAACUCCGUGCCAGCAGCCGCGGUAAUACGGAGGAUGCGAGCGUUAUCCGGAUUUAUUGGGUUUAAAGGGUGCGCAGGCGGAAUGUCAAGUCAGCGGUAAAAUUUCGGGGCUCAACCCCGUCGUGCCGUUGAAACUGGCGUUCUUGAGUGAGCGAGAAGUAUGCGGAAUGCGUGGUGUAGCGGUGAAAUGCAUAGAUAUCACGCAGAACUCCGAUUGCGAAGGCAGCAUACCGGCGCUCAACUGACGCUCAUGCACGAAAGCGUGGGUAUCGAACAGGAUUAGAUACCCUGGUAGUCCACGCAGUAAACGAUGAAUACUAACUGUCCGGGCAGAAUGAUGCCUGGGUGGUACAGCGAAAGCGUUAAGUAUUCCACCUGGGGAGUACGCCGGCAACGGUGAAACUCAAAGGAAUUGACGGGGGCCCGCACAAGCGGAGGAACAUGUGGUUUAAUUCG
RNAcentral lists this ribosomal RNA (899 nucleotides) under uncultured bacterium. RNAcentral's name for it is "bacterial SSU rRNA". It matches the Rfam family "Bacterial small subunit ribosomal RNA", at positions 67 to 953 of the family's 1533-position model. The record is from RNAcentral.